Molecule: long non-coding RNA, 1331 nt
Organism: Piliocolobus tephrosceles (Ugandan red Colobus)
Lineage: Eukaryota; Metazoa; Chordata; Mammalia; Primates; Cercopithecidae
Exons: 11
Source: RefSeq, a predicted model, not a curated record
CUUGACCUCCCAGCUCAAGUGAUCCUCCCACCUCAGUGUCCUGAAUAGCUGGGACCACAGGAACUAGCAGCCUGGUGGUUCUCUCUCUGAUUGCUUCUUGGAGGAUGCAGCCUUGGAAGAUGGAAAUUCAGGAUCCUUCCUAAACAUCACCAGGCCAUUUCCCCAACUUGGAAACUUGGCUAUGCAAAAGGAACUCUGCUGUGAAAGGGGGAGUGCCUCUUUUGAUUUGCAAGGUACUUUCCUGUGUACAAGAUACAGUUCCAUGAGUUGAGGGGAUUCAAAGGUUCCCUUAAGGAGCAAUCAACUGUAGACUUGUAUGAAGGAAAAAGUUAUACCUCAAGGACUCAAUACACAAGAGGCCCAGGAGGGGAAUUUCAUUUCGCACUUCAUUUUUUUCUCAGAGCAAUUUCCGAUCUGUACUGCCAGAUGGCGCCCGUGAGCAGUGCCGCCCUUCCCUAAGACUUUUCUUUCCACGCUUCGGGAGCUAGGAACACUGGACGAGUAAGGGAAGAAGGCCUCAAGUGAACAUGCAUACAACUUCAGAGAACACUGACGGCGUGGCUCCUCCCAAGUUGCAAGAGAUAGACGCCUACUCAAACUAGCCUUAAAAAAAGAGACUGCAGAGUAGAAUAAACCGAGAGAGCUUUCUAAGGAAAAUGGGCCGGCGUUCCACACCAGAGUCUGCAAAUUCAACAAGUCGCAAGGUGGAACCUUUCUUGGCAUUCUUUCUCUCUCGGAUUUUCCUCCAAUGGAAGUAGGUCAGCCCUACCUGCAGAGUGGAGGAAACCUAACUGGACCACAGACAAGGUCCUUCAAUAUAAAGCCUUGUUCUAGUAUCUUAGUAGAUACAACCUGACAAGCAUCUUGUUGAAACUCACUUCCAGAAGAACCACAAGGAGAGUUUCUGGAGCACUUCUGUCAUCACCAUAAACAUGCCCAGUCUAGCCUGCCGGAAAAUGAAAGAACAGGCCAGCCUAGGUCAACUUAAAUCACCUGAACUCUAGAUAUGUGAGUCCAGCCAAGAUCAGCAGAGCCACCUGACCAACCCACAGCAAUUACAGCCCCAUGGAACAGUGACCUGGCCUUACCUGCUGCUGUCCCAGAUUCUAGAUGGAACCUGCAUGGAAGGGACAGCACAAACUACUGAGCAACUGGACAUAAUGCCCCCUCAGAUACUAUCAGGGACUUUUGGAAGCAACAGGGGCUAAUUUUAAUUCUUAUUUUCAAUAUUUUGCAAAUUGUCUAUAAUGAGUAUCUUCACUUUCAAAAUCAGAAAUUAAAAAUGUUAUUUUUUUCACUUUGCACAUGUGUGUUCCAGGAGUCUGUGUUAA